GCUUCGGAGCAAUAUCCAAUACAACAAGGAUUGAAAC
Molecule: non-coding RNA, 37 nt
Organism: Beggiatoa sp. PS
Lineage: Bacteria; Pseudomonadati; Pseudomonadota; Gammaproteobacteria; Thiotrichales; Thiotrichaceae
Source: Rfam